RNAcentral lists this ribosomal RNA (440 nucleotides) under uncultured bacterium. RNAcentral describes it as "partial 16S ribosomal RNA". It matches the Rfam family "Bacterial small subunit ribosomal RNA", at positions 338 to 795 of the family's 1533-position model. The record is from RNAcentral.
ACUACGGGUGGCAGCAGUGGGGGAUAUUGCACAAUGGGGGAAACCCUGAUGCAGCGACGCCGCGUGAGUGAAGAAGUAUUUCGGUAUGUAAAGCUCUAUCAGCAGGGAAGAAAAUGACAGUACCGGACCAAGAAGCCCCGGCGAACUACGUGCCAGCAGCCGCGGUAAUACGUAGGGGGCAAGCGUUAUCCGGAUUUACUGGGUGUAAAGGGAGCGUAGCCGGUUUUGUAAGUCUGGAGUGAAAGCCCGGGGCCCAACCCCGGGACUGCUUUGGAAACUGUGGAACUGGAGUACAGGAGGGGCCGGCGGACUUCCUGGUGUAGCGGUGAAAUGCGUAGAUAUCAGGAGGAACACCGGCGGCGAAGGCGGCCUGCUGGACUGAAACUGACGUUGAGGCUCGAAAGCGUGGGGAGCAAACAGGAUUAGAUACCCUAGUAGUC